Molecule: ribosomal RNA, 539 nt
Filed under: Vibrio crassostreae
Lineage: Bacteria; Pseudomonadati; Pseudomonadota; Gammaproteobacteria; Vibrionales; Vibrionaceae
Description: bacterial SSU rRNA
Rfam family: Bacterial small subunit ribosomal RNA
Source: RNAcentral
AGAGUUUGAUCAUGGCUCAGAUUGAACGCUGGCGGCAGGCCUAACACAUGCAAGUCGAGCGGAAACGACACUAACAAUCCUUCGGGUGCGUUAAUGGGCGUCGAGCGGCGGACGGGUGAGUAAUGCCUAGGAAAUUGCCUUGAUGUGGGGGAUAACCAUUGGAAACGAUGGCUAAUACCGCAUAAUGCCUACGGGCCAAAGAGGGGGACCUUCGGGCCUCUCGCGUCAAGAUAUGCCUAGGUGGGAUUAGCUAGUUGGUGAGGUAAUGGCUCACCAAGGCGACGAUCCCUAGCUGGUCUGAGAGGAUGAUCAGCCACACUGGAACUGAGACACGGUCCAGACUCCUACGGGAGGCAGCAGUGGGGAAUAUUGCACAAUGGGCGAAAGCCUGAUGCAGCCAUGCCGCGUGUAUGAAGAAGGCCUUCGGGUUGUAAAGUACUUUCAGUUGUGAGGAAGGGGGUAGUGUUAAUAGCGCUAUCUCUUGACGUUAGCAACAGAAGAAGCACCGGCUAACUCCGUGCCAGCAGCCGCGGUAAUAC